CAGGUGCUGCAUGGCUGUCGUCAGCUCGUGUUGUGAAAUGUUGGGUUAAGUCCCGCAACGAGCGCAACCCUUAUCCUUGUUUGCCAGCGAGUAAUGUCGGGAACUCCAGGGAGACUGCCGGUGAUAAACCGGAGGAAGGUGGGGACGACGUCAAGUCAUCAUGGCCCUUACGAGUAGGGCUACACACGUGCUACAAUGGCGCAUACAGAGGGCGGCCAACUUGCGAAAGUGAGCGAAUCCCAAAAAGUGCGUCGUAGUCCGGAUUGGAGUCUGCAACUCGACUCCAUGAAGUCGGAAUCGCUAGUAAUCGUGGAUCAGAAUGCCACGGUGAAUACGUUCCCGGGCCUUGUACACACCGCCCGUCACACCAUGGGAGUGGGCUGCAAAAGAAGUGGGUAGUUUAACCUUCGGGAGGACGCUCACCACUUUGUGGUUCAUGACUGGGGUGAAGUCGUAACAAGGUAGCGCUAGGGGAACCUG
RNAcentral lists this ribosomal RNA (480 nucleotides) under Vibrio vulnificus. Its description in RNAcentral is "bacterial SSU rRNA". It matches the Rfam family "Bacterial small subunit ribosomal RNA", at positions 1035 to 1514 of the family's 1533-position model. The record is from RNAcentral. Lineage: Bacteria; Pseudomonadati; Pseudomonadota; Gammaproteobacteria; Vibrionales; Vibrionaceae.